Molecule: ribosomal RNA, 490 nt
Filed under: uncultured bacterium
Lineage: Bacteria
Description: bacterial SSU rRNA
Rfam family: Bacterial small subunit ribosomal RNA
Source: RNAcentral
GUUUGAUCAUGGCUCAGGAUGAACGCUAGCGGCAGGCCUAAUACAUGCAAGUCGAACGGGAUUUGGGAGCUUGCUCUGAUGAGAGUGGCGCACGGGUGCGUAACACGUAUGUAACCUACCUUAAUCUGGGGGAUAGCCUCUCGAAAGAGAGAUUAACACCGCAUAACAUUAUCGGACAGCAUUUUCUGAUAAUCAAAUAUUUAUAGGAUUAAGAUGGGCAUGCGGAACAUUAGCUAGUUGGUAAGGUAAUGGCUUACCAAGGCUACGAUGUUUAGGGGAUCUGAGAGGAUGACCCCCCACACUGGUACUGAGACACGGACCAGACUCCUACGGGAGGCAGCAGUAAGGAAUAUUGGUCAAUGGGCGCAACUGAACCAGCCAUGCCGCGUGCAGGAAGACGGCCCUACGGUUGUAACUGCUUUUGUACCGGAAUAAACCUUGAUAUGUAUAUCGAGCUGAAUGUACGGUAAGAAUAAAGGAUCGGGCUAAC